RNAcentral lists this ribosomal RNA (496 nucleotides) under uncultured Glomus. RNAcentral's name for it is "SSU rRNA". It matches the Rfam family "Eukaryotic small subunit ribosomal RNA", at positions 569 to 1071 of the family's 1831-position model. The record is from RNAcentral. Lineage: Eukaryota; Fungi; Glomeromycota; Glomeromycetes; Glomerales; Glomeraceae.
AGCAGCCGCGGUAAUUCCAGCUCCAAUAGCGUAUAUUAAAGUUGUUGCAGUUAAAAAGCUCGUAGUUGAAUUUCGGGAUUAGUACGUUGGUCGUGCCUUCGGUACGUACUGGUGUUACUGAUUCCUACCUUCUGACGAACCAUCAUGUCAUUAAUUUGGUGUGGCGGGGAAUCAGGACUGUUACUUUGAAAAAUUAGAGUGUUUAAAGCAGGCUCGCGCUUGAAUACAUUAGCAUGGAAUAAUGAAAUAGGACGUUGACCCUAUUUUGUUGGUUUCUAGGAUUGACGUAAUGAUUAAUAGGGAUAGUUGGGGGCAUUAGUAUUCAAUUGUCAGAGGUGAAAUUCUUGGAUUUAUUGAAGACUAACUACUGCGAAAGCAUUUGCCAAGGAUGUUUUCAUUAAUCAAGAACGAAAGUUAGGGGAUCGAAGACGAUCAGAUACCGUCGUAGUCUUAACCAUAAACUAUGCCGACUAGGGAUCGGAUGAUGUUAUUUUUA